UACGUAGGCAGCAAGCGUUGUUCGGAGUUACUGGGCGUAAAGAGUCUGUAGGCGGUGCUCUAAGUUUGGUGUGAAAUCUCCCGGCUUAACCGGGAGGGUGCGCCGAAGACUGGGGUGCUGGAGUCUGGGAGAGGAAAGCGGAAUUCCUGGUGUAGCGGUGAAAUGCGUAGAUAUCAGGAGGAACACCGGUGGUGUAGACGGCUUUCUGGACCAGUACUGACGCUGAGGAGCGAAAGCGUGGGGAGCGAACAGG
RNAcentral lists this ribosomal RNA (253 nucleotides) under uncultured bacterium. RNAcentral describes it as "partial 16S ribosomal RNA". It matches the Rfam family "Bacterial small subunit ribosomal RNA", at positions 524 to 776 of the family's 1533-position model. The record is from RNAcentral.